RNAcentral lists this ribosomal RNA (468 nucleotides) under uncultured bacterium. RNAcentral's name for it is "partial 16S ribosomal RNA". It matches the Rfam family "Bacterial small subunit ribosomal RNA", at positions 28 to 507 of the family's 1533-position model. The record is from RNAcentral.
GACGAACGCUGGCGGCGUGCUUAACACAUGCAAGUCGAACGGAAAGGCCCUGCUUUUGUGGGGUGCUCGAGUGGCGAACGGGUGAGUAACACGUGAGUAACCUGCCCUUGACUUUGGGAUAACUUCAGGAAACUGGGGCUAAUACCGGAUAGGAGCUCCUGCUGCAUGGUGGGGGUUGGAAAGUUUCGGCGGUUGGGGAUGGACUCGCGGCUUAUCAGCUUGUUGGUGGGGUAGUGGCUUACCAAGGCUUUGACGGGUAGCCGGCCUGAGAGGGUGACCGGCCACAUUGGGACUGAGAUACGGCCCAGACUCCUACGGGAGGCAGCAGUGGGGAAUAUUGCACAAUGGGCGGAAGCCUGACGCAGCAACGCCGCGUGCGGGAUGACGGCCUUCGGGUUGUAAACCGCUUUCGCCUGUGACGAAGCGUGAGUGACGGUAAUGGGUAAAGAAGCACCGGCUAACUACGCG